AGGACGAACGCUGGCGGCGUGCCUAACACAUGCAAGUCGAACGGGACCAGGGGCAACUCUGGUUCAGUGGCGGACGGGUGCGUAACACGUGAGGAACAUGACCUUCGGCGGGGGAUAGCCGGCCCAACGGCCGGGUAAUACCGCGUACGACCACUCGGGGACAUCCCCAGGUGGUGAAAGCAGCAAUGCGCCGAUGGAGUGCCUCGCGGCCUAUCAGCUAGUUGGUGAGGUAACGGCUCACCAAGGCGACGACGGGUAGCUGGUCUGAGAGGAUGGCCAGCCACAUUGGGACUGAGA
This 297-nucleotide ribosomal RNA is filed under the name uncultured soil bacterium. RNAcentral's name for it is "partial 16S ribosomal RNA". It matches the Rfam family "Bacterial small subunit ribosomal RNA", at positions 26 to 324 of the family's 1533-position model. The record is from RNAcentral.